Myotis myotis is the source of this 3720-nucleotide long non-coding RNA. RefSeq lists it as uncharacterized. NCBI's taxonomy places the organism in Eukaryota, Metazoa, Chordata, Mammalia, Chiroptera, Vespertilionidae. The transcript has 2 exons. The record is from RefSeq and is a predicted model, not a curated record.
CCUUCUCUUUGUCCUUCUCCUCUUCCUCCUCUUUCUUCUUGUUCUUCAAGUCCUUUAACAUUUUUUUUUAAAUACUGUUUUUUAAAAAUACUGUUUUGUUAGUAAGAAAGUACUUUAGCUUAAGCUCUUUAUUUCUCCUUUAAUUUUAAAUGAUAACCUUGCUGGGUAAAGUAGUCUUGGUUCUAGGUCCUUGUUUUUUAUCACUUUGAAUAUUUCACACCAAUCCCUUCUGGCCUGAAAUGUUUCUGUUGAGAAAUCAGCUGACAGUUUUAUGAGAGCUCCCUUGUAGAUUCCUUUCUCGUGGCUUUUAAGAUUCUCUGUCUUUAACUUUUGCCAUUUUAUUUAUGAUGUAACUUGGUGUGGGCCUCUUCGGGUUCAUCUUGUUUGGAACUCUGUGUUUCCUUGUAUGUCUUUUUCCUUCACCAGGUUAGGAAAGUUUUCAGUCAUUAUUUCUUCAAAUAGGUUCUCAAUCCCUUGCUUUCUCUCUUUUCCUUCUGGUAUCCCUAUGACAUGGAUUUUGUUGCACUUCACAUUGUCACAAGGUCCCUUAAACUAUACUCAUUUUUAAAAAUUAUUUUUUCUUUUUUAUGCUUUGAGUGGGUGUUUUUUGUUUACCAAAUCGCUGAUUUGAUCCUCUACUUCACUGAGCACUCUGUUUAUUCCUUCAGUGUAUUCUUGAUUUCAGAUUUGAUGUUCUUCAUUUUUGACUGGUCUUCUUUAUGAUUUCUAUAUCCUUUGUCAUGCUGUUGAGCAUCCUUAUAAUGAUUACUCUGAACUCUUAUUUGAUAAAUUGCUUACCUCCAUUUCAUUUAGCACUUCUUGUGGAGAAUCCUCUUGUUCCUUCAUUUGGGGCCUGUUUCUUUGUCUCUGCAUUUUAGCUGCCUCUUUGUGUUUGUUUCUAUGUUUUAAGUAGAUCUGCUAUGGCUCCCUGUUUUCGUAGGGUGGCUUUAUGUAGUCAGCGACCUGUGGGACCCAGUGGUGUAGUCUCCUUGAUCACAUGAGCUGGGUACUCUAAGAAUGUCCCUUGUGCAUGUUAUGUGGGCCCUCCUGUCAUAAUUCAGUCUUGAUUGCUGUUGGUCCAUUUGUGUGUGGGAUCAACACUCAAGCUGGCUGGUAGUGAAGCUCAACCCCCAAUACAGCAUGAAAAUUACUACGCAGGUGCUGAUCAUACGAAGUGGAAUUCGCCUCAGGAUGGUUCUGUGCCUGCUGAAAUCUCCCUGUGGAUAUACUGUUUGUGAAGCUUAUUGGAUCCGGCUCUGUUGUCUAGAACUGGUCACUGGGUGUAAUAGUUCUGGGCCUCUUUGGUGGGGCCCUGGUGCAGGCCAGUGUCAAAUGCUGUCUGUGACUGCCUCUGGGCAACCUGUUUGGAGCUAUCAGCGAUCCACAGCUUGUGGCUCCCUCUACUGGGCCUGGGUGUGUAUAGGAAGGACCAAGCUGUGCACCAAAGUCUGCUUCAUACAUGUAUAUACAGUAGGUCCUCGGGUUACAUUGGAAAUCCGUUUCUACGGUGCGACGUAACGCGAUUUUCGCCGUAAGUCGGAACCCACCUACAUAAGCACCUACGUCACAGACAUGGAGCACAUACACAGCAGUAAUGAAGUGAAAGAGUAAAAAAAAUUUAAAAGAUAACAAUUCCUGACCUUUACUUACGGUAAAUAAAUAAUAAAUCAUUCAAGACUGAAGAUACAAUUAUUGUCUUUAGAAAAGUCAGCCACUGGGUGUUUAAACAAUGUUUCAUUACUAAAGUUGUAAAGAAACCUGGGUUAAGCUUGGCAGGCAGCCUGGUGUAAUAGUCUCUAAGAAUAGUGUCCUUUUUAGUUGUCUCAAUUGAAAUGAACAAAGAAAUGAGCAGCAGCCGUCAGUCUUGAGCAGAUGUAAGGGUAACUGGAGGCAUAUGCAGAGGCACUGAGCCUGGCUAUAGUGGGACUUUUAGGAGGGGCUGCUAACUUGAUCUUCCCACUAUGGCCUCCUGAAUCUUGACCACAGUUCUCAGAAGAGACCUGUUAUAAAAUUUGGGUUUAUAUUAAAAAUAAUAGGAAGUCAUUAAGACAUUUCAAGUAGGGAGGUGACGUGAUCUAUUUUAUAUUUUACAUGAUCAGCCUGUCUGUGGUGUGAGAGUAGAUUAGAAUGAAUGUAGACAAAUGAACAUAGGAAGCUACUGUUAACACCUAAGCUAUAAAGGAUGGAGGCCUGAACUAAUAGGAAGUGGAGAAUGUACAUAAGGGACAUCUGGUGGCUGAUUAAAUGUAGGAAGUGAGCCCUGACUGGUUUGGCUCAGUGGAUAGAGCGUAGGCCUGUGGACUGGAGGGUCCCAGGUUCGAUUCUGGUCAAGGGCAUUAAAAUAAAUAAAUGUAGGAAGUGAGGGACAAGGUGACAUUGAGAAAAGAGAAUCCUAGGUUAUUAAAGAGCUAGUUUAUUAAAGAGCUCAUUUAAGCAUAAUGAGAAAUGUAGCAAAAUAUUGGUAAUAGACAGUAGGGGUGUGGUGUUGCCUUUCAGUUCUUCACCAAGGAUCUGGGGAUAUUUUUUGUCUUGAUCUGUUCAGAGCAUUUUUUUAUCAGCUGGAUUCUCUGUAACCUGCUUGACCUCUGCUAUGGCCCACAUCAAAAGAGCUAACAUUUUCAGAGGAUAAUCUAUGUCCUGAAAUCUGCUAUGGACUGAAUUGUGCCACCAUCCCAAAUUUAUCUGACGAAGUUCUAACCACCAAUGAGACUAUAUUUAGAGAUGCAGCCCAUAAGAAGACACCCACAUAUAUGAGAGGCCAUGUGAGCACACAGUGAGAAGGCAGCCAUCUAUAAGCCAGGAAGAGAAGUCUCACCAGAAACCAAACCUGCCAACAGCUUUGUCUUGAACUUCUGGCCUCCAGGACUAUAAAGAAAUGAGUUUCUGUUUUUUAGACUAGGUGGCAUUUGUUAAGGCAUCUAUGGUAUUUUGUAACAGCAGCCCAGCAGACUAACAGUGUUAACAGGUAAGUAUUGUCAUUUUCAUUUAUAGAUGAUAAUGAGGCUUGGUGUUUGACUUGAUUAAGAUCCCACAGGCAUUAGCAUCUCACCCUCUGCACUCCAAUGGAUCCUUCCUUAUAUAUCAGCCCUUUGUUUCUUCAGAGAAUCAUCUGGGCUUACCUGGGAAGUACCAAGUCUUCACCAAUUCUAUUUCUAAGAUCCUAGCUGCUAGUCUUCCUUUCAGCCUGCUGUGCAGACCCAUAAAAUUGUAGCAGGAUAGUAAGAAGCUAGGAAAAUCCCCGGCGAAGUAGAACAAGGAAACAGACAAAAUUAAACAAGGCCAAACAGUUUGGGCAACUUAUAGCCAGCUUGUGAAUCACAUGACCUUAUCUUCUCCAACCAAGGACACUUGAGAGCAAAUGGUUUAUACCCUCCUCCAUAAUCAGAAAAUACAUAGCUUAAAUCACCCUGGCCUGGGAAUCUAGAGAACAAAGACCCAAUUAAGGACAUUUGUGCCAGCUAAACCCAAGGACAGAGGACAGUGGGAAACAAGUAAUAAAAAUCCCGUUAAAGCCAGACAAACCUAAGAUAAAACAGACCAAAGAAUAAUUUAAAAAACUCCCAAUACACUCAUUUGAGGUCUCAGCAUAUUAAAAAUGCACCUGGCAAGCUGAAGAAUAUUCUACCAAAACCCUCCCCUAAGAGUCUCAUCUGCAAGAAAAUGAGAGAGAGAGAGAGAGAGAGAGAGAGAGAGAGAGAGAGAGAGAGAGAGAGAGAGAGA